Caerostris darwini is the source of this 72-nucleotide non-coding RNA. The record is from the annotation of a GenBank genome assembly. Lineage: Eukaryota; Metazoa; Arthropoda; Arachnida; Araneae; Araneidae.
GCCAAGUGGCCCAGUGAUUAGCGCUCUGGCCUUUGGUGUCAGAGGCUUCAGGUUCAAUUCCUGGCAGUGGCA